Molecule: ribosomal RNA, 253 nt
Filed under: uncultured bacterium
Lineage: Bacteria
Description: partial 16S ribosomal RNA
Rfam family: Bacterial small subunit ribosomal RNA
Source: RNAcentral
CACGUAGGGCGCAAGCGUUGUCCGGAAUUAUUGGGCGUAAAGAGCUCGUAGGCGGUCUGUUACGUCUGCUGUGAAAACCCGGGGCUUAACCCUGGGCUUGCAGUGGAUACGGGCAGACUAGAGGCAGGUAGGGGAGAAUGGAAUUCCCGGUGUAGCGGUGAAAUGCGUAGAUAUCAGGAGGAACACCGGUGGCGAAGGCGGCUCUCUGGACGGUGACUGACGCUGAGACGCGAAAGCGUGGGGAGCAAACAGG